Molecule: ribosomal RNA, 159 nt
Filed under: uncultured bacterium
Lineage: Bacteria
Description: partial 16S ribosomal RNA
Rfam family: Bacterial small subunit ribosomal RNA
Source: RNAcentral
GACUCCUACGGGAGGCAGCAGUGGGGAAUAUUGCACAAUGGGCGCAAGCCUGAUGCAGCGACGCCGCGUGAGGGAUGGAGGCCUUCGGGUUGUAAACCUCUUUUGUUUGGGAGCAAGCCUUCGGGUGAGUGUACCUUUCGAAUAAGCGCCGGCUAACUA